UGGGGAAUAUUGCGCAAUGGGCGAAAGCCUGACGCAGCGACGCCGCGUGAGGGAUGAAGGUCUUCGGAUCGUAAACCUCUGUCAGCAGGGAAGAAAGUUAUGCGUGCUAAUCAGCGUGUAAUUGACGGUACCUGCAAAGGAAGCACCGGCUAACUCCGUGCCAGCAGCCGCGGUAAUACGAAGGGGGCAAGCGUUGUUCGGAAUUACUGGGCGUAAAGGGAGUGUAGGCGGUUAAGUAAGAUAGCGGUGAAAUCCCGGGGCUCAACCUCGGAAUUGCCGUUAUGACUAUUUAGCUUGAAUUAUAGAGAGGAUAGCGGAAUACCCAGUGUAGAGGUGAAAUUCGUAGAUAUUGGGUAGAACACCGGUGGCGAAGGCGGCUAUCUGGCUAUAUAUUGACGCUGAGGCUCGAUAGCAUGGGGAUCAAACAGGAUUAGAUACC
This 439-nucleotide ribosomal RNA is filed under the name uncultured bacterium. Its description in RNAcentral is "bacterial SSU rRNA". It matches the Rfam family "Bacterial small subunit ribosomal RNA", at positions 355 to 786 of the family's 1533-position model. The record is from RNAcentral.